CCGGCACGGGUGAGUAACACGUAUGCAAUCCACCUGUAACAGGGGGAUAACCCGGAGAAAUCCGGACUAAUACCCCAUAAUAUGGGCGCUCCGCAUGGAGAGCCCAUUAAAGAGAGCAAUUUUGGUUACAGACGAGCAUGCGCUCCAUUAGCCAGUUGGCGGGUAACGGCCCACCAAAGCGACGAUGGAUAGGGGUCCUGAGAGGAAGGUCCCCCACAUUGGAACUGAGACACGGUCCAA
This 240-nucleotide ribosomal RNA is filed under the name uncultured bacterium. Its description in RNAcentral is "partial 16S ribosomal RNA". It matches the Rfam family "Bacterial small subunit ribosomal RNA", at positions 100 to 334 of the family's 1533-position model. The record is from RNAcentral.